Long non-coding RNA from Alligator mississippiensis (American alligator), 359 nucleotides. RefSeq lists it as uncharacterized. The record is from RefSeq and is a predicted model, not a curated record. Lineage: Eukaryota; Metazoa; Chordata; Crocodylia; Alligatoridae. The transcript has 3 exons.
CGGGGGAAGUUCCUGCUGGGAAGGGCGAGCCCGAGUCCAGUCUCGCUCCUUGCUGCAGGCGGUGGGUUUUGCUUCUAGGUCUGCGGGGGAAGGCUGAAGAGUCCCAUGUCUUUCAGCAUCUCCUCGUAUGACCUGCUCUUCAGACCUCUAAUCAUGUGCGUGGCCCUCCUUUGGACUCUCUCAAGCUUCUCCACAUCCUUCCUGAAGUGUGAUGUGCUUGCGGUUUGAUUUCAAAGGUGAAUAAGCACACCAGUCCUUUAAAUGGUUCUAUGACCAAAUGUGGAAGUCCCAACAGACCAGCAGAUCCAGCACAAUCCAGCAGAUGGGCACAAUUAAAACUGGUAUCAUGAAGAACUAGA